UACGUAGGGGGCAAGCGUUGUCCGGAUUUAUUGGGCGUAAAGAGCGUGUAGGCGGUUUUACAAGUCCGCUGUGAAAACUCGAGGCUCAACCUCGAGCUGUCGGUGGAAACUGUAAGGCUAGAGUCCGGAAGAGGAGAGUGGAAUUCCUGGUGUAGCGGUGAAAUGCGUAGAUAUCUGGAGGAACACCGGUGGCGAAGGCGGCAUCCUGGACCAACACUGACGCUGAGGAGCGAAAGCCAGGGGAGCAAACGGG
This 253-nucleotide ribosomal RNA is filed under the name uncultured bacterium. RNAcentral's name for it is "partial 16S ribosomal RNA". It matches the Rfam family "Bacterial small subunit ribosomal RNA", at positions 524 to 776 of the family's 1533-position model. The record is from RNAcentral.